GAUCCUGGUUCAGAGCGAACGCUGGCGGCAGGCCUAACACAUGCAAGUCGAACGGACCCUUCGGGGUUAGUGGCGGACGGGUGAGUAACACGUGGGAACGUGCCUUUAGGUUCGGAAUAGCUCCUGGAAACGGGUGGUAAUGCCGAAUGUGCCCUUCGGGGAAAGGAUUUAUUGCCUUUAGAGCGGCCCGCGUCUGAUUAGCUAGUUGGUGAGGUAACGGCUCACCAAGGCGACGAUCAGUAGCUGGUCUGAGAGG
RNAcentral lists this ribosomal RNA (256 nucleotides) under uncultured bacterium. RNAcentral's name for it is "partial 16S ribosomal RNA". It matches the Rfam family "Bacterial small subunit ribosomal RNA", at positions 15 to 299 of the family's 1533-position model. The record is from RNAcentral.